AUAGGAGAGAGGGAGAGGGGAGCUACUGAACAAGUUGAUCCUCAGGUGGAGAGAAGGUCCCACAGAGGAAGAAUCCACUGAUACCUGCAAGCAGGGUUGU
Long non-coding RNA from Gavialis gangeticus (Gharial), 100 nucleotides. RefSeq lists it as uncharacterized. The transcript has 3 exons. The record is from RefSeq and is a predicted model, not a curated record. Lineage: Eukaryota; Metazoa; Chordata; Crocodylia; Gavialidae.